GGAAGUAAAAAUCGUAACAAGGUUUCUGUAGGUGAACCUGCAGAAGGAUCAUUAGUGAAGUUAAGGCUGGACUCUUUCCAGCCUUCACCUUUUUUCCAACCCUGUGCACUGUAAUCUAAUCAACGCAGUUGAAGUAAUGGGAUGUCAAUAUAUUAAACAGUUAAAACUUUCGGCAACGGAUCUCUAGGCUCUC
This 193-nucleotide unclassified non-coding RNA is filed under the name plant metagenome. RNAcentral's name for it is "partial contains small subunit ribosomal RNA and internal transcribed spacer 1". The stretch from base 1 to 54 matches the Rfam family "Eukaryotic small subunit ribosomal RNA", at positions 1778 to 1831 of the family's 1831-position model. The record is from RNAcentral.